GCUGGCUCUGACACACUCCAAAGCACAAACAGGAGAAUUAACUUCAGCCUUAUGUGAGGGGGAGACAUUUCCUUCAUUUGAGCAGAAGAAAAAGACAGAUGACAUUACAGCUAUUUUUGCAGACCUCUCCCCUUGGGUAUGCCGUGCUGGGAGAACUUCACGGACCUGGCAGUCUACCAUGUGAGCAUCAGUGAUGGGCAGUGGACAACAAGGGCAGCAAUGAGCCACAUCCCAGGAGCAGAGGGAGGAGCAGCAUCAUAAUCAGAAGAGACGUGAUGAUGAAAAUAGAUUCCAGAGUGAUGCAGCCAUGAGUGAGCAACCUCUAGAAGCCAGCAACGGCCAGGAAUGUGUUCUUCCCUAGGACCUCUACAAAGAAUUAAGCUCUGCUGCCAUCUUGAUUUUAGCCAUAUAAGACCCAUCUCAAAUUUCUGACCUCCUGAA
This 441-nucleotide long non-coding RNA is filed under the name Homo sapiens (human). RNAcentral describes it as "HSALNT0042414". The record is from RNAcentral. Lineage: Eukaryota; Metazoa; Chordata; Mammalia; Primates; Hominidae.